GAUAAGUGAGGUGUACUUC
This 19-nucleotide non-coding RNA is filed under the name Rattus norvegicus (Norway rat). Lineage: Eukaryota; Metazoa; Chordata; Mammalia; Rodentia; Muridae. The record is from RNAcentral.